RNAcentral lists this ribosomal RNA (497 nucleotides) under uncultured bacterium. Its description in RNAcentral is "partial 16S ribosomal RNA". It matches the Rfam family "Bacterial small subunit ribosomal RNA", at positions 28 to 507 of the family's 1533-position model. The record is from RNAcentral.
GAUGAACGCUGGCGGCGUGCCUAAUACAUGCAAGUCGAGCGAACAGACGAGGAGCUUGCUCCUCUGACGUUAGCGGCGGACGGGUGAGUAACACGUGGAUAACCUACCUAUAGGACUGGGAUAACUUCAGGAAACCGGAGCUAAUACCGGAUAAUAUAUUGAACCGCAUGGUUCAAUAGUGAAAGACGGUUUUGCUGUCACUUAUAGAUGGAUCCGCGCCGCAUUAGCUAGUUGGUAAGGUAACGGCUUACCAAGGCAACGAUGCGUAGCCGACCUGAGAGGGUGAUCGGCCACACUGGAACUGAGACACGGUCCAGACUCCUACGGGAGGCAGCAGUAGGGAAUCUUCCGCAAUGGGCGAAAGCCUGACGGAGCAACGCCGCGUGAGUGAUGAAGGUCUUCGGAUCGUAAAACUCUGUUAUUAGGGAAGAACAAAUGUGUAAGUAACUAUGCACGUCUUGACGGUACCUAAUCAGAAAGCCACGGCUAACUACGUG